This 1080-nucleotide ribosomal RNA is filed under the name Triticum aestivum (bread wheat). RNAcentral describes it as "partial small subunit ribosomal RNA". The record is from RNAcentral. Lineage: Eukaryota; Viridiplantae; Streptophyta; Magnoliopsida; Poales; Poaceae.
AUGGAGAGUGAUGUACAUCCUAUAAUUGAGUUUCUGGAUUAUGCCUUUUUGAGCAAUGACAAAAGACUGCAGGACAGAAGACCACCCUAUUUUGACCAUUUGAUACGAUGUUUGAGAGAAAUGAAGUCAGCAGUGCCGAGUCCUGGUGAUAAGUUGACGAUAGCAUCUCACGCGAGCUAUAUGUUACCUUUUGACAGGUUAUUGCUUACUAUUUCACUCAGAAGAAAGUAUAAAGGUUCGAGCAAAGAAGAAAAAACUAAAUGGGAUGGUGCCAUAAGGAAAGCUUCAUUAAAUGUUGCCUUGACCGAUCGAUUGCUGGAACUACCUGUGUUUAACGAUAUUAAAGCAGCAGCAGAUAGAAGAGGCGAAUCAUAUCCAGCAGAGCUAACACGGUCCGUGUCCUUUCGGGUGUCACGGGAUUAUUGCAUGCAUGCACUCGAAAAUCGAUGGGCCGAUGAUCCAGAUGCAAAACCUAGCGAGAAGGAUAAACAAAUUGAGAAAUUCAAAGAUGAUGAUGGCAUUGAGCUUAUGCUUCCAGUGCACGUAAAAAAAAUUCUUGCUAAUCUGAUCGAACAACUUAUCCUGGCAAACAUUGACAUCAACAGAGAGCUUUCAAGUGCCGUACUGCACUGCACCAAGUGCCCCAUAGAACCAACUCAUCCAGUUGUGGCUGAACCCAUUGGUGAUGAUUACAUGCCGACUUGGAUGCUUGCUCGAACUAAAGCUGAACAAUCAAGGCUCAUGAACAUGAACAUUGGUGCCAAUCGAGCAAGACCAAGGAAUUGGACCACCGGAGAAUGCUCGAACUCCGCUUCAAUGGUCAACCAGCAGCCCAAUCCCUGGAAUGCAGGGAAGACUCUCGUAGCGCUGUCCCCAGGUGCAAAAAUUCUACCUUUAAGCUCCAUGCCGUCGGGGAGUAGUACAGAUGGUGUAAAAGCUGAAGUGUCGAACCCAGUGACAUCGGUGCGUGCACAGACAACACAGCCACAAGUAGCAGAAGGCAAAUCAAAGGCCUGCUUUGAUAACUGGAAAAGGCGUCAGGCGAGGAAAGCUCGAAAAGAGGCCGGUGAGAAACCCUAG